RNAcentral lists this ribosomal RNA (451 nucleotides) under uncultured bacterium. RNAcentral's name for it is "partial 16S ribosomal RNA". It matches the Rfam family "Bacterial small subunit ribosomal RNA", at positions 29 to 523 of the family's 1533-position model. The record is from RNAcentral.
AACGAACGCUGGCGGCAGGCCUAACACAUGCAAGUCGAGCGCCCGGAUUUAUCCGGGAGCGGCGCACGGGUGAGUAACGCGUGGGAACAUGCCCUGAAGUACGGAACAACCUGGGGAAACCUUGGCUAAUACCGUAUACGCCCUGAGGGGGAAAGAUUUAUCGCUUUGGGAUUGGCCCGCGUUGGAUUAGCUGGUUGGUGUGGUAACGGCGCACCAAGGCGACGAUCCAUAACUGGUCUGAGAGGAUGACCAGUCACACUGGGACUGAGACACGGCCCAGACUCCUACGGGAGGCAGCAGUGGGGAAUAUUGGACAAUGGGCGAAAGCCUGAUCCAGCCAUGCCGCGUGGGUGAAGAAGGCCUUAGGGUUGUAAACCCCUUUCAGCGGGGAAGAUAGUGACGGUACCCGCAGAAGAAGUCCCGGCUAACUCCGUGCCAGCCGCCGCGGUAA